AACGAACGCUGGCGGCAGGCCUAACACAUGCAAGUCGAACGGGAUCUUCGGAUCUAGUGGCGGACGGGUGAGUAACGCGUGGGAACGUGCCCUUUGGUUCGGAAUAGCCCUGGGAAACUGGGAGUAAUACCGGAUGUGCCCUUCGGGGGAAAGAUUUAUCGCCAAAGGAUCGGCCCGCGUUGGAUUAGGUAGUUGGUGGGGUAAUGGCCUACCAAGCCGACGAUCCAUAGCUGGUUUGAGAGGAUGAUCAGCCACACUGGGACUGAGACACGGCCCAGACUCCUACGGGAGGCAGCAGUGGGGAAUCUUAGACAAUGGGGGAAACCCUGAUCUAGCCAUGCCGCGUGAGCGAUGAAGGCCUUAGGGUUGUAAAGCUCUUUCGUGGGGGAAGAUAAUGACUGUACCCCAAGAAGAAGCCCCGGCUAACUCCG
This 431-nucleotide ribosomal RNA is filed under the name uncultured Rhodobacter sp. RNAcentral describes it as "bacterial SSU rRNA". It matches the Rfam family "Bacterial small subunit ribosomal RNA", at positions 29 to 505 of the family's 1533-position model. Lineage: Bacteria; Pseudomonadati; Pseudomonadota; Alphaproteobacteria; Rhodobacterales. The record is from RNAcentral.